UGCGAGCAAGGCAUUGCAAUACAUUUUGAGCCAGGAAAAUUUUUUUCAAUACGUGAUUAUUAAAGACUCUCUUGAAACUGAUCUUUUCCUAAAUUCACGGUACUGCUUCAAUCCAGAACGACGACGGAAAUGGAUACUAAGUACCGUUUAGACUUUUGUGUGACUCCCUAUAAAAGAUUAUGUGGGCAGCGAUCGUGCGGAGGAAAUUCGCUGUGGUCUCCGAUCUGUGCGGAGUUCGCCGUUCUCAUGGCUUAUGUUGGUGCAAAAGGAGAGACUCGCCAACAAAUGGGGGAUUUACUGGGAUUCAGCAAAGCCUACACUGUAGACGAUUUCUGCGCGUUGCUAAUCGAGAUGAAAAGGAAUGCGGAUCAAAACUAAGCGGUCCCAAAUGCUCCUGUUCCAAACUACAGGCUGUUCCUAGCCACAGCAGGAUUUAUUGAAGAAGACUGUCCUCUCAACGCCGACUACACCGACACUCUCCGCACUUUAUUUAACACCGUAUGCCAACCUGUUCGCUUCCGCACCGCACCCUCUGAAGCUGUUCAACGCAUCAAUGAAUUUGUGGAGAAUCACACAUCCGGAAAUAUUCGCGAUACACUGGCUCUUUCCGACAUAGACAAAGAUACCGCAUUCAUACUGAUUAGUUCGGUGUACUUUGAAGCGGAAUGAGAUCAUCGAUUUUUUGAGGAGCACACGGUGAAGAAACCUUUCACCCUGACCGAUGGCGGCCAGGUGAUGGUGGAUACCAUGCAUGUGUUGACGCGGUGUGGGUAUUACGAGAGUAAGGAACUGGGAGAAGCGCGCUUUCUGCAGUUGUGGUACGGUGACGAACUCUCCAGCGCGUGUUUCAUUCUCCCGGGGAAGAAUGUCGGCUCAGCUACGUGGACACCUGGUUCAGCGUUGUCGGACCUGCAGAGAGCCCUGACGCCCGCUUUGGUUCAAAAGGCGCUGGAUUCUCUCCAGCCAAUUUCUUACGGAACGAUACAGGUACCGAAGUUUUCCAUUGAACACAACAUCGAUUUGGAUAGCACGCUGCGGGAUCUGGGUAUGCGGUCAGCUUUUUCGGAAAGCGCCGAUUUCUCCGGGAUAUCGACGCGUUCCCUCUGCAUUGACAAGAUUAAGCAGAAGGUGUAUAUCGAAGUAGUCAAUUCGCUUCUCACUUGCAUAUUGCAGGUCUGUACGAAUGUUUUUUGGUGUAAUGUAGUCCGUUGAGGCCGUCCUCUGCUGAUCUACGCUUCGCACGUUCGCAGGUUUUUCAUUACCAUGCAUUUUUACCGCAAGCUUGAUACCACCGUGAACGUCCUGUGCAGCGAUCAGCGGAUGCGCUACGGACGCGUAGUGGACAUUGCAGAAGAUGGCCUCUUCGUUGAUCUGUUCUCUCCGAAUGGGCGACGUGAAUUUUGCGCCGUUCGGCCGCGUCUUUUUUGCUUGUCCUACGACCUUUCUCAAUUUUGGGUAUGCCGAUCAACGGUCAGCCAUCCCGAGUCAGGUUCUGAUGCCGGAGACGCCAGCCGGUCCAUGAGUUUGGCUUCCCGGUGAAAUCUACUGGGUAGGAAAGCUGAGGCCAUUGUGCAGCGCGGCCGUUGUUCACUGGCACCUUCCGGACACUCGUGAACAGCACACUGACAUUAUCCCCAUACAUCGACUUUGUCAAGCUCAAGAUGUCGACAAUAACGUCUUACACGACGAAAAAAUCCCUACAGGCAGCUUUAUCAAGCGCAAUGUGGACUUGGGCGGAGAAGUUCGUUCGUUAUCCACCGUAGAAGUGCAGGCGCUCAUCAAGCGACUCAAUGGCCGCCUGUCUCUCUUCACACCCGUUUUCGUGGUGGAUAUGGUGGACGGCAAAUUAGAAUACAUUCACCAAAUUGCCGAUGAACGCGUUCGCCCGUGGGUCAGUGACGAGUUCAUUGCGAAAGUACGCACCUUGGUCACACAUUCUCAGGAUGAAGCAAGUAUGCCCAAUUAUGAAGGCUAGGCGCAGAAGGCGCUACCGACGGAAUUGUGGCAAGAGGUCUUUUCAAACUUGAUCACUGUGGCGCAGACGAAGCUGCGCGCCGUGUGCACCACGUGGAACCGGAUCUUGGAUGCGCCAGCAUUCCACAAUAGUAAUCUGCAACAAAAAGAACAGCAGCAACGUCAUAUGGGAAUCGGAUAAUUUUCUCUGCAUGGCGAUCAUCAUCGGAUCAUUUUCUCUGCAUGAUCCGUUAUGUGGCUGCCCAACAAACCGGAAUCCAACUGCGUACCCUGCAUCUGCGCGGCGUCGGCAUUGGGAAUCUGAUCAGCCGCUGGCUCGCUCGCACUGACAAAGGCUCAAUUGGCGUAAACUGGUUUUUUCCUGAGCCAUCGCCGGACUCGCAGCCCGAUGACAGGGAUCUGGAGUUCAUUGCCGCAUGCCGCAAUCUACCGUGCCGUGCCAUACAUAUGACGAACUGUGAAGUGAAUUUAGGGAAUACGUGGGGUCUUAGAGGGAACCUCGAUUUCAAACCGCGGUCUUGAUAAACAUCGGCACCGCGCAACUGCCGGUUGGCGAUAAAUUCGACUGCGCAUUUUGGGAUGCACUGGAGACGGCACUUUCGGAACUACCGAGUGACCAGCAGCGCUUGAAUAUCUCUGGAGUCGAGGACCCCGCAGUGACGAAUGCCGUCUGCAAGUUAGUAGUUACUUUGUGCGGCGCAGUCGGCUGAUCCGCGUCCGUCGUCGCAUUACCACGGGAAGAAGUGGAGUAUGGAUGCCGGCGGGCUGGAAGAUCUGCAGUGGGAGAAGCUGUCGCGCAUUACUCGGCAUCUGCUCGUUAAAUUGCAUAAGUGGACGAGUGCGACGGAUAGUGGAUUUUGUUUCGGGCCUGAAAAUUUCGAAUCCCUGUAGUUGCUACUGGACAUUGCCCUCAGUUACGUUAAGCCGUAGUCAGAGUCUGAGCGCUGUUUUCUCGAGAUCAGUUAGUUCACUGAAUAGUUUUUACUGGAUUCACUUGAAUAUUUUUCACUGGUAGGUGUCGUUUGAUCUGAUAUUUUACCGACUUUUUAAUGCAUACUUUAUUAUAAUUUAACUGUAGUAGAAUUUGCGUGCGAGCGUAUCACGUACGCUGCAGCGAAGUA
This is a long non-coding RNA of Paramacrobiotus metropolitanus, 3095 nucleotides long. RefSeq lists it as uncharacterized. The transcript has 5 exons. Lineage: Eukaryota; Metazoa; Tardigrada; Eutardigrada; Parachela; Macrobiotidae. The record is from RefSeq and is a predicted model, not a curated record.